RNAcentral lists this ribosomal RNA (506 nucleotides) under uncultured bacterium. RNAcentral's name for it is "partial 16S ribosomal RNA". It matches the Rfam family "Bacterial small subunit ribosomal RNA", at positions 30 to 523 of the family's 1533-position model. The record is from RNAcentral.
AUUGAACGCUGGCGGCAUGCCUUACACAUGCAAGUCGAACGGCAGCACAGGAGAGCUUGCUCUCUGGGUGGCGAGUGGCGGACGGGUGAGGAAUACAUCGGAAUCUACUUUUUCGUGGGGGACAACGUAGGGAAACUUACGCUAAUACCGCAUACGACCUACGGGUGAAAGCAGGGGACCUUCGGGCCUUGCGCGAUUGAAUGAGCCGAUGUCGGAUUAGCUAGUUGGCGGGGUAAAGGCCCACCAAGGCGACGAUCCGUAGCGGGUCUGAGAGGAUGAUCAGCCACACUGGAACUGAGACACGGUCCAGGCUCAUACGGGGUGCAGCAGUGGGGAAUAUUGGACAAUGGGCGCAAGCCUGAUCCAGCCAUACCGCGUGGGUGAAGAAGGCCUUCGGGUUGUAAAGCCCUUUUGUUGGGAAAGAAAUCCAGCUGGCUAAUACCCGGUUGGGAUGACGGUACCCAAAGAAUAAGCACCGGCUAACUUCGUGCCAGCCGCCGCCGUAA